This 253-nucleotide ribosomal RNA is filed under the name uncultured bacterium. Its description in RNAcentral is "partial 16S ribosomal RNA". It matches the Rfam family "Bacterial small subunit ribosomal RNA", at positions 524 to 776 of the family's 1533-position model. The record is from RNAcentral.
UACAGAGGUGGCGAGCGUUGUUCGGAAUUACUGGGCGUAAAGGGCGCGUAGGCGGCCGUUUGCGUCGGAUGUGAAAGCCCGGGGCUCAACCUCGGAACGGCAUUCGAUACGGGACGGCUGGAGACCGGGAGAGGAGAGUGGAAUAGCCAGUGUAGAGGUGAAAUUCGUAGAUAUUGGCUGGAACACCGGUGGCGAAAGCGGCUCUCUGGCCCGGUUCUGACGCUGAGGCGCGAAAGCGUGGGGAGCAAACAGG